This 329-nucleotide long non-coding RNA is filed under the name Setaria italica (foxtail millet). Its description in RNAcentral is "long non-coding RNA (SITA_LNC005778)". The record is from RNAcentral. Lineage: Eukaryota; Viridiplantae; Streptophyta; Magnoliopsida; Poales; Poaceae.
GCUCUCACAAACAAAUGAGUAGACCACCUCCCAACUAGCCCAAAUGGCUGCCCAACAGCCCACUCCUCAUAUAUAUAUAGGCAUCCGAAAAAUGACCAGAAUGCCCUUACAUGAGUCACACAACUCAAAUACCCCUUAGGGGUAAAAUCGUCCAACUUUUUUCUCGUACAUCGGACGGACCCGGCACCUUCACGAUUUCGCUUCGACUCGACGCAAGCUUCGUGAUGGUGCCACACGUCCUCCGACUCGACACCGUCCAACUACACCGGACUCGCCCCCGGCUUUUGAGGUCAAACCGGUCAAACCCUCUUGCACACCUUUGAAGCGUG